Molecule: long non-coding RNA, 2972 nt
Organism: Malaclemys terrapin pileata
Lineage: Eukaryota; Metazoa; Chordata; Testudines; Emydidae
Exons: 3
Source: RefSeq, a predicted model, not a curated record
AAAAGAUUCCCGCCUUGUGCCUAUAAAACAGGGUGGAGGAGGACAAAGAGGCUAGUCAUGAGAAAACUCUUAGUUACCACCUGAGAUGGCUGCUGGAACUAACAAGGACUGUACCAGGGGAAAGGAUUGGGCCCAGACUAGGAAAGAGUCUAGUCUGUGAAAGAAGCUUAUUGGAACAUCUGAGGAGAUGAAAACAGAGAUUGUUGCAUUAUAUUGAUUCAUUGGAUAACAGAAUCCGUUACAUUCAUAAGCUUGGACUUGAAAAUGAGUAUUUGUGGAAUAAGGUACUACUCAGCAUGAGUAAGUAUAUCAGAAUCUUGCCCGGUAUUAAACAAUAAAAAGCAGACCAAAUGCACAGGGUGACCAAAGGAUGGAUUUAAGAGUAUCAUAGGGUUUUCUGUCUUAAAUAAAUAGGCAUAUGGCAAAUCUUAGCUGGGUGAAUAAAAGGGAAUAUUUGUGGAGAAAGUAUGUUAUAAGGAGGAAUCUGAAAGAGGAGGAUGCUUAGUGCACCAUGGGAGGGGGGCAUUUCAGGCAUAGAGGGCUUCCUUAGACUUGUGCUGACCAAGGUUGGGCAUUUUAUAAGAAUAUUUUCUUGUGAGAUUUCCAGUAUGUCAGUUUACAGUCAGAGGAAAAGAAGGAAUGCAAAGCCAUGUGAAGUCAUCUGAGCAUUGCAAAGGCUUUGUAUUCACAUCUGGAACUGGCUGAAGGAUCAGGGGCCUGUUCUUAUUUUCUAAACUAUUUUACCCACCCCUUCUGUACAUCAAAGAGCUUUGACAGCUGUCUAAAUGAAUGCUUCCCUGACAGCUAGCUGGGAGGGGAAGAGUCUGUGUUUAUGUCAAUACAGUUUGUUCCUGCUCUGUUUACAUAUCAUCAUUUACAGCUGUGUCAGAGGAUCAACUUUGGCUGGUGUUGGGUACAAAUGACCUUAGUACUGCAUGCAGGGGUAGUGAAAUAUGGUUACCAAUGUUGUAAUUAUUGUAGCAAUACAGGAAAGCAGGACUGUGCUUAACCUGUCCCAAAUGAGGGGGAGCACCCUUAGUUGAAAGAAUGUCAUUAAGCAGGGGCUUGAAUGUCCGAGCCCUGUGAAAGGGAAGGGAGGGACAGGGACUAGGACUCGGACUCAACCUCAACUUCAACUCAAACUCAAAUCCUGGUCAGGAGGGCACUCGCUCACCCACCCACCUGUUUUCUAAGUGUUCAAAGAAUAGAGCUAAAUAAUCUUCAUUAGGAGCCUCUUUUGUUAUUUUAAUUGCUUAAUCAGAGCUGAAACCAGUUGUGGUAGGACUGUAUUUCUGCCCUGCCUGCUAAGAGCUAAAAACACAGAGACUGAUGUGCAUAAGUCACAGCAGAGGCAGAAGGUGAGGAGUGGCCAGCAGGGCAGUGGCGGGGAGGCACAUCGAGCAGGGCAGCAGGAGGGGCACAGCGAGAGCAGUGAGCAGCCAGUGGAGCGAGUAAGAUGCCUCUUUACUCCCCCUCCCCCACCCAGGUGGGAGGUGAACUCUGGAGAUGCACCUCUGAACUCUGGUUCUGUGUAAGGGGACUGUUGUCCCCUUACUAACAUUCAGUGGGGGUGUUUUGGUUGCUAGCUCCCAGCACUAAAAGGGGAGGGGUCGAUGGGAAAUCAGGACCCUGAGACUGACAGUCCCCAGGAACAAUGGCGAGAGGCCAAUGCUCCAGGUAAGCCUGAUUGACAGGGCGGGCAGGCUAAUCAGCAUGACAGGAGGCCAGGGUGGGUCCCGUCCUCCGUGUGAGUUGGAAUUGCCUGGGUCAGACAGAGUGGGGCCGAGCUAAGGAGAGAGCAGGGGCCCAAGCUGAGCUGGAGAGCAGAACCGGGCCAGAGCCAGAGACGCAGCCCAGGGGGAGCAGAUCCUGUGCUGGGAGCAGAGCUGCAGCCACAGAGCCAGAGACGCAGCCCAGGGGGAGCAGAUCCUGUGCUGGGAGCAGAGCUGCAGCCACAGAGCCAGAGAUGCAGCCCAGGGGGAGCAGAUCCUUUGCUGGGAGCAGAGCUGCAGCCACAGAGCCAGGUGUGGUGAGCAAGUGGGGCCAGCAUAGGGGGGGCCUGGGCAAAGGGCCCAGCACAGAAAGACACCCCCAGACAAGGGCCCUUGCAGGCCAGACCGGGAGGGGGACCUUAACCCUACGGAGGGCUGACGCAGGGAAGAAGGGUCCCACCACUCAAAGCCCGGAGGUGUGUGGCCACCACCAUUGCAAGUGUCCAACCCGCAGCGUCUCUGCAGCACGGCCAGGGCCUGAGAAGGAGCCUGGGACCUACAAGGAGCAGACUGUGACCUGCCCUGACGUUCCAGAGACACUGUUUGUGAUGUUCCCUGCCACAGAGCGGGGUGAUGUGUUUUCCUUUAACCUUUCACAUUUUUCCUUGUUCUUUUCUUUAGAUUAAUUGUUAAUUAAAUAACUUGUGUUUGCUUUAAAUUGUACGGAAUAAUCAGUGGGUUAGGGAGGUGCCCAGUGCAGAGAGAGUACCCCGGAGUGGGGACACCCUAGCCCCUGCCCUAGGUGACCACAGCAGGGUUGGGGGUCGAGCCCCCCCAGGAAUCCUGGGCCCAGCCUUGUUGGGGUUACGAGGACUCAGACAGACGGGAGAGUGGAAGGGCAGGGAGGCCUCUGGGUAAAGGAAGUGGGAGCGGGGACUCAGAUCCUUUCGCUAGCCCACCUCACCGGGGUAGUGCAGAAGUCAGGAAAGUUCCCCACAAUAGCGGGACCAGACCCCCGCUUACAUCUGCACUGACCAAGGAGAGCAACUGUGAGUGGGGUGCAGAGAAGGGUCGGGCACAUGAAAGGGACUUUUGGUUGCUGGACUUAAGAACCUGAGAGGAAAAGGGCACUGCCCAACUUACUUGGGGGUGGGUCUUUUACUCAUGGUUUAUGUUUAUGAAUCCUGUUUGUGGUGUUUUCCCAAAUUAACUCUGAGUUACUUCCCUCCUUUUAUUAAAAGUUUUGUUUUCUACACUCGG